CAGCCGCCGCGGGAAUACGAAGGGUGCAAGCGUUACUCGGAAUUACUGGGCGUAAAGCGUGCGUAGGUGGUGGUUUAAGUCCGUUGUGAAAGCCCUGGGCUCAACCUGGGAAUUGCAGUGGAUACUGGGUCACUAGAGUGUGGUAGAGGAUAGUGGAAUUUCCGGUGUAGCAGUGAAAUGCGCAGAAAUCGGAAGGAACAUCUGUGGCGAAGGCGACUAUCUGGGCCAACACUGACACUGAGGCACGAAAGCGUGGGGAGCAAACAGGAUUAGAUACCCCAGUAGUCCCUGUCUCUUAUAC
This 301-nucleotide ribosomal RNA is filed under the name uncultured bacterium. Its description in RNAcentral is "partial 16S ribosomal RNA". It matches the Rfam family "Bacterial small subunit ribosomal RNA", at positions 509 to 807 of the family's 1533-position model. The record is from RNAcentral.